RNAcentral lists this ribosomal RNA (301 nucleotides) under uncultured bacterium. RNAcentral's name for it is "partial 16S ribosomal RNA". It matches the Rfam family "Bacterial small subunit ribosomal RNA", at positions 509 to 809 of the family's 1533-position model. The record is from RNAcentral.
CAGUAGCCGCGGUAAUACGGAGGGUGCAAGCGUUAAUCGGAAUUACUGGGCGUAAAGCGCACGCAGGCGGUUUGUUAAGUCAGAUGUGAAAUCCCCGAGCUUAACUUGGGAACUGCAUUUGAAACUGGCAAGCUAGAGUCUUGUAGAGGGGGGUAGAAUUCCAGGUGUAGCGGUGAAAUGCGUAGAGAUCUGGAGGAAUACCGGUGGCGAAGGCGGCCCCCUGGACAAAGACUGACGCUCAGGUGCGAAAGCGUGGGGAGCAAACAGGAUUAGAUACCCCAGUAGUCCCUGUCUCUUAUAU